This 984-nucleotide ribosomal RNA is filed under the name marine metagenome. RNAcentral describes it as "bacterial SSU rRNA". It matches the Rfam family "Bacterial small subunit ribosomal RNA", at positions 358 to 1375 of the family's 1533-position model. The record is from RNAcentral.
AGAAUAUUGCACAAUGGACGAAAGUCUGAUGCAGCGACACCGCGUGAAGGAUGAAGGCCCUAGGGUUGUAAACUUCUUUUAUUAGGGAAUAGCAAGGAAGGUACCUAAUGAAUAAGCAACGGCUAACUACGUGCCAGCAGCCGCGGUAAUACGUAGGUUGCAAACGUUGUCCGGAAUCACUGGGCGUAAAGGGUCCGUAGGCGGUUUGAUAAGUCUCAUAUGAAAGCUUCAAGCUCAACUUGGAGAUGUUGUGAGAUACUGUCAGACUAGAGACUGUUAGAGGUAAGUGGAAUUCCAGGUGUAGUGGUGAAAUGCGUAGAUAUCUGGAGGAACACCAGUGGCGAAAGCGACUUACUGGGACAGUUCUGACGCUAAGGGACGAAAGCGUGGGGAGCGAACCGGAUUAGAUACCCGGGUAGUCCACGCUGUAAACGAUGAUUGCUAGGUUUUCGGGGCAUCGACCCCUCGUGAGCCGAAGUUAACGCGUUAAGCAAUCCGCCUGAGUAGUACGGCCGCAAGGCUAAAACUCAAAGAAAUUGACGGGGGACCGCACAAGCAGCGGAGCGUGUGGUUUAAUUCGAUGGUAAGCGAAGAACCUUACCAGGGUUUGACAUGUAAGUAGUACUGAACCGAAAGGGGAUGGACCCGCAAGGGAGCUUACACAGGUGUUGCAUGGUUGUCGUCAGCUCGUGCCGUGAGGUGUUGGGUUAAGUCCCGCAACGAGCGCAACCCUCUUUGUUAGUUGCACUCUCUAACGAUACUGCCCUUAAAAGGGAGGAAGGUGGGGAUGACGUCAAAUCAUCAUGGCUCUUACACCCUGGGCUACACACACGCUACAAUGGCAAGUACAGACGGUCGCCAACCCGCGAGGGGGAGCUAAUCCGAUAAAACUUGUCUCAGUUGGGAUUGCAGGCUGAAAUUCGCCUGCAUGAACGUGGAGUUGCUAGUAAACGCAGGUCAGCACACUGCGUUGAAUACGUUCCC